Long non-coding RNA from Neodiprion virginianus, 1007 nucleotides. RefSeq lists it as uncharacterized. The transcript has 2 exons. The record is from RefSeq and is a predicted model, not a curated record. NCBI's taxonomy places the organism in Eukaryota, Metazoa, Arthropoda, Insecta, Hymenoptera, Diprionidae.
UGUUUUCAGUUGAAAUCGUGAGGCACGAGUUGCCUCGGAGGAUAACUCGUCGAUUUAAUAUAUAAACGUUGUAGAAGAACCGGCACGGCAUAUUGUUGAAAGACCAUCGUCGACGAACCAAAGUUAACCAAAGUCAACCAUGAAACAGACCACGGUGUUACUGGUUUUAACCCUCGCAAUCUUUGCGUCGGUUUUACCCGUCACCGUCAGCGGCCAAUCAUGCAAAAGCAGUUCAAAGGCUUCGAGUCAGUCAAGUUCUGAAAACCAUUCAAGCUCCGAUGAUUCAUCCACCACUAUCGAUUCAACUUCGAGUGAAGAUUCAAAAUCCGGUAGCGAUUCAAGUUCUGGAGAUGAUUCAAAAUCCGGUAGCGAUUCAAGUUCUGGAGAUGAUUCAAAAUCCGGUAGCGAUUCAAGUUCUGGAGAUGAUUCAAAAUCCGGUAGCGAUUCAAGUUCUGGAGAUGAUUCAAAAUCCACUACCAAAUCAACUUCCGAUGGCUCUUCUAGUCUGCUUUCUACACUAGUGAAGAGCGCCGAGUCGGAUUUGGAAUCCAUUUUAAAGUGAAAGAUUGAAAAGAAAUCUCGCAACGAAAACUCGGCGAUGUCUCAUUUUGAUACUAAAUUUAUAACGUCCACCGACAUCUCCAUAAGAUUGUUUCAUCAAAAAUUAGAAUUACACGAAUCUCUUUGUGGAGCUGCAAUUCAAAGGCCCAAUAACAGAAUGUAUAAUUUAUUCGCGUCUACACGAUACAUGGUAAAUGAAAUUUUGCUGGUGUAAAAAAUUGAUCUGACAUAGUUAUCCUAUCCGAAAAGUGUUGGACCUACUUGAAACUAACUAGCUUUAAGUAACUCUACACUUGGAACCCGUUUUCCGGCAAGGUCGAUUCUCGAUUAGGUUAGAAUAUACAUGAAUUUAAAAUAAUUCCUUCACAUAAACAAUACGUGCCUACUCUGUAUCCUACAUAUAUCGACGUCUUGCGUAUGAAAUAGAAUUGCCGUUACAUGAAAAA